RNAcentral lists this long non-coding RNA (1455 nucleotides) under Selaginella moellendorffii. Its description in RNAcentral is "long non-coding RNA (SMOE_LNC001042)". The record is from RNAcentral. Lineage: Eukaryota; Viridiplantae; Streptophyta; Lycopodiopsida; Selaginellales; Selaginellaceae.
UGGAAGAAGACGCGAAAGAGAGACGAAAGAGAGACGAACGAGAGACAAUGAAACGCGGUGAGAAACCAGACGAGAAAGAAACAGUCGCGUACCUUUGGAAAGACGAGGCCAUGGCCAUUGAGCGAACUGAUCAUGAGAAUUCGGACAUUGUCAACAACAGCGUGGGGAGUGGAGCCUCCUUUCUUGAGCCGAUACGGUAUGCAGCUAGACAGAAAAAAAGAAAAGGAGAUUUCGUUUACGAACUAAAACUCGAAAUUUUGUGCUUCCAGGAGCUCAAAUUCAAUGCUACUCACCCAGCGACGAGCCUGUAGCCCUGCUCAAAUCUCUGCCGCUGUGGCUCGUCGGUGAUUCCCUCCAUUGGCGAUUCAACCGCGAAGAAAUACGAGGAAGGAGAACGCAAAAGCAAAUAUUGGAAACUUGCGACCGAGGUGAGUAAAACUUCUCAACCGGAUUUCUUCAUUGAAUCGAUAGAGAGUUUGUCAAGUUGGAGAGAGGGAGUCGAGAGUGCUGCUGUUCGUUAUCACUCUCGGUCAAAAAUCUCGGAUUUUUGAGACGAAGAGGUCGAUGAGUCUGGAGAUCAUAAACUUGAGCGAAGUUAUCUCCUUCUACGCAAUGACAGAUUUGAGUUAGCCGAAAGAGAAGAUGAGAAAGAGAAGAGGGGACAGGGUAAAAAAGAGGGAUGGAUGAAGAGUCGGUCUCACAGGUUUGGUCUUUUCCUGGGAAAAAGAAGGGAAGGAAAAAGAAAAAAUGGAAAAUCAAUCACUGGCUGAGUCUUUGUUUUAUUUUAUUUUGAUAUUUAUUUUUUCUUUUUCCUUGGCAGAGCACCAUUUGCACAGCCGCGAUGUUCAGCUUGCAGCAACAGCAGCCUUUUAUGAAGAAUGAACAACACAUGUCAGCCGAAAAAAAAGGGGAGAAAUCAACACACCAGCAACGGUGAGAAAGUAAGGAAGAAAAAACGAGAGAGACUUCGCAUGCUUUCUUUUUUUUCGCAGCGAGGACGAUUAGAAGAACUGAUAAGAUCUGGAGAUGAAACUCUCAUCAAAGAUCAACAUCUACACAUUAAAGCUCUUCCAUGUGCUUGGCAUUUGCAUUCGUGCAGUGGGAGCAUUGCUCCAGCCUUGACCAGAUAAGAAAAAAGAAAAAUUUAAAGUUCUAGAGUGUGAUCUUGGCUUGGAACUUGCAAAGUCGACUGAAUUUUUUGCAUGAACAGAUUGAAGUUCUCAAGAUCAAGAAAAUCUUCGCUUCCACAAGUACUAGAAAAAAGAAAGAGAAGAAGAAGGCGAAGAAAGAAAUGCUAGACGCCGCCCGCGAUGGUGUGUGAUAUUUAAAGCCUGCGCGGCUGCUACUUAAAGAAAACGAUUUACAAAGUUUUGUAAAUUCACAGCGAAGUUAUGUGGUAAUGCGGCGGCCGCGAUGAUUGACUGUAUCGUAUAACCUUGGUUUUUCUUGUCCUUU